AGUGAACGCUGGCGGUAGGCCUAACACAUGCAAGUCGAACGGCAGCACAGUAAGAGCUUGCUCUUACGGGUGGCGAGUGGCGGACGAGUGAGGAAUACAUCGGAAUCUACUUUUUCGUGGGGGAUAACGUAGGGAAACUUACGCUAAUACCGCAUACGACCUACGGGUGAAAGCAGGGGAUCUUCGGACCUUGCGCGAUUGAAUGAGCCGAUGUCGGAUUAGCUAGUUGGCGGGGUAAAGGCCCACCAAGGCGACGAUCCGUAGCUGGUCUGAGAGGAUGAUCAGCCAAACGGGAACUGAGACACGGUCCAGACUCCUACGGGAGGCAGCAGUGGGGAAUAUUGGACAAUGGGCGCAAGCCUGAUCCAGACAUACCGCGUGGGUGAAGAAGGCCUUCGGGUUGUAAAGCCCUUUUGUUGGGAAAGAAAAGCAGCAGGUUAAUACCCCGCUGUUCUGACGGUACCCAAAGAAUAAGCACCGGCUAACUUCGU
Molecule: ribosomal RNA, 491 nt
Filed under: uncultured bacterium
Lineage: Bacteria
Description: partial 16S ribosomal RNA
Rfam family: Bacterial small subunit ribosomal RNA
Source: RNAcentral